UAAUGUCUGGGAAACGUGCCUGAUGGAGGGGGGUAACUACUGGAAACGGUAGCUAAUACCGCAUAAUGUCGCAAGACCAAAGUGGGGGACCUUCGGGCCUCAUGCCAUCAGAUGUGCCCAGAUGGAAUUAGCUAGUAGGUGGGGUAACGGCUCACCUAGGCGACGAUCCCUAGCUGGUCUGAGAGGAUGACCAGCCACACUGGAACUGAGACACGGUCCAG
RNAcentral lists this ribosomal RNA (221 nucleotides) under uncultured bacterium. RNAcentral's name for it is "partial 16S ribosomal RNA". It matches the Rfam family "Bacterial small subunit ribosomal RNA", at positions 111 to 334 of the family's 1533-position model. The record is from RNAcentral.